RNAcentral lists this ribosomal RNA (425 nucleotides) under uncultured bacterium. Its description in RNAcentral is "bacterial SSU rRNA". It matches the Rfam family "Bacterial small subunit ribosomal RNA", at positions 355 to 775 of the family's 1533-position model. The record is from RNAcentral.
UCGAGAAUCUUCGGCAAUGGGCGCAAGCCUGACCGAGCGACGCCGCGUGCGGGAUGAAGGCCUUCGGGUUGUAAACCGCUGUCGGAGGGGAGGAAAUGCGCGGGGGUUCUCCCUCGCGUUUGACCUAGCCUCAAAGGAAGGACGGGCUAAGUUCGUGCCAGCAGCCGCGGUAAGACGAACUGUCCAAACGGUACUCGGAAUUACUGGGCUUAAAGGGUGCAUGGGCGGCUCAGAAAGUUGGGUGUGAAAGCCCUCGGCUUAACCGAGGAGGGUCGCCCAAAACUACUGAGCUUGAGGAAGACAGGGGUGCGCGGAACUUGCGGUGGAGCGGUGAAAUGCGUUGAUAUCGCAAGGAACACCAGGGGCGAAAGCGGCGCACUGGGUCUUUUCUGACGCUGAGGCACGAAAGCUAGGGGAGCGAAGAG